This 720-nucleotide ribosomal RNA is filed under the name uncultured bacterium. RNAcentral describes it as "bacterial SSU rRNA". It matches the Rfam family "Bacterial small subunit ribosomal RNA", at positions 405 to 1121 of the family's 1533-position model. The record is from RNAcentral.
GUGAAGAAGGCCUGCGGGUUGUAAAGCACUUUAKUUGGUGAGGAAGGCAUUUAUUUAGUAGAUGUUGACGUUAACCAAAGAAUAAGCACCGGCAAACUCUGUGCCAGCAGCCGCGGUAAUACAGAGGGUGCAAGCGUUAAUCGGAAUAACUGGGCGUAAAGGGCAUGUAGGCGGAUAGUUAAGUCAUAUGUAAAAGCCCCGGGCUUAACCUGGGAUGGUGAUGUGAUACUGGCUAUCUAGAGUGCAGUAGAGGGUAGUGGAAUUUCCGGUGUAGCGGUGAAAUGCGUAGAUAUCGGAAGGAACACCAGUGGCGAAGGCGGCUACCUGGACUGACACUGACGCUGAGGUGCGAAAGCGUGGUUAGCGAACAGGAUUAGAUACCCUGGUAGUCCACGCUGUAAACGAUGAGGACUAGCUGUUGGAAGCCUAUGAGUUUUCAGUAGCGUAGCAAACGCGCUAAGUUCUCCGCCUGGGGAGUACGGCCGCAAGGUUAAAACUCAAAGGAAUUGACGGGGGCCCGCACAAGCGGUGGAGCAUGUGGUUUAAUUCGAUGCAACGCGAAGAACCUUACCUACCCUUGACAUCCUAGGGAGCCUACAGAGAUGUGGGUGUGCCCGCGAGGGAACCUGGAGACAGGUGCUGCAUGGCUGUCGUCAGCUCGUGUUGUGAGAUGUUGGGUUAAGUCCCGUAACGAGCGCAACCCUUGCCCUUAGUUGCUAA